UUGAAGGAAUUGUCAUCUUCUAAAGGUACUUUUUAAAAUAUCCUAUUAGUUCUAGUUUGUAAGCAGUACAACAUAAUAAUUUGAGUCCAAUUGUACUGCAGGGACAAGUACACCUGCUUAGAAUGGUGCAACUCUUACUGAAAUCUGCCACUUUCUGAGAGCUCACAGGGUAGCCUAGAAGCCUUAGGUUUUUGCCUUCUAUUGAAAUUCAAGUUUGUAAGAUGAAAAUUAAGUUGUGACGUCUGAGCAUCAAAGAACUUGAGGUUUCAAAUACCCGUGAGCCUUUGUUUAUCUUAAUUUAAAUUGUGGCAGUCUCAGCUACUCUGAAAGUGCAAGUUUAACUGAUGUAACUUCUCUGAAGAUGGACUCUGGUCCCUUUGUGAGUAUUAGAAGAUUAAUCAGAACAACAGAGAAACAGAUAUUCUGUACUGCUUUUUCUUGACAUUUUAGUUUUGGAGAAUGAGCAAUGCCUCCGCUGGGGACUUCCCUGGCAGAUCCACGUCUGAACAGCCAGGGCUGGCUUCCAAGAACAUUAAAUUCCAGCUGCUUUUCCAUCCAAGGCAAGAUUGGUUAUGCAUAUUUGGUGCCUGGCUUAACACUUCAAGGCACAUAAUUUUCAGUGGCAUAAUGGACUGUUUGAGUCUCUCUUGUCAACUGGGAGUUUGAGUAUGUGGCACAUUUGGAAAUUCAACCCAUCCUGACCUAGCAACUGGCAAAAGAGAAAUCUAUCAGUUGCUGUUUAAACCUGAGAGUUCUGCUUGCCUUUGUCUCAUCGGAGC
Molecule: long non-coding RNA, 779 nt
Filed under: Calidris pygmaea (Spoon-billed sandpiper)
Lineage: Eukaryota; Metazoa; Chordata; Aves; Charadriiformes; Scolopacidae
Description: lncRNA (ENSCPGG00000014026.1)
Source: RNAcentral